RNAcentral lists this ribosomal RNA (356 nucleotides) under uncultured Geobacillus sp. RNAcentral describes it as "bacterial SSU rRNA". It matches the Rfam family "Bacterial small subunit ribosomal RNA", at positions 1025 to 1382 of the family's 1533-position model. The record is from RNAcentral. Lineage: Bacteria; Bacillati; Bacillota; Bacilli; Caryophanales; Anoxybacillaceae.
ACGAGGGUGACAGGUGGUGCAUGGUUGUCGUCAGCUCGUGUCGUGAGAUGUUGGGUUAAGUCCCGCAACGAGCGCAACCCUCGCCUCUAGUUGCCAGCAUUCGGUUGGGCACUCUAGAGGGACUGCCGGCGACAAGUCGGAGGAAGUGGGGAUGACGUCAAAUCAUCAUGCCCCUUAUGACCUGGGCUACACACGUGCUACAAUGGGCGGUACAAAGGGCUGCGAACCCGCGAGGGGGGAGCGAAUCCCAAAAAGCCGCUCUCAGUUCGGAUUGCAGGCUGCAACUCGCCUGCAUGAAGCCGGAAUCGCUAGUAAUCGCGGAUCAGCAUGCCGCGGUGAAUACGUUCCCGGGCCUU